This 503-nucleotide ribosomal RNA is filed under the name uncultured Glomus. RNAcentral's name for it is "SSU rRNA". It matches the Rfam family "Eukaryotic small subunit ribosomal RNA", at positions 569 to 1076 of the family's 1831-position model. Lineage: Eukaryota; Fungi; Glomeromycota; Glomeromycetes; Glomerales; Glomeraceae. The record is from RNAcentral.
AGCAGCCGCGGUAAUUCCAGCUCCAAUAGCGUAUAUUAAAGUUGUUGCAGUUAAAAAGCUCGUAGUUGAAUUUCGGGAUCAGACUGUCGGUCGUGCCUCGGUACGCACUGGCAUUAUUGGUUCCUACCUUCUGAAGAACCGCGAUGUCAUUAAUUUGGUGUCGUGGGGAAUCAGGACUGUUACUUUGAAAAAUUAGAGUGUUUAAAGCAGGCGCACGCUUGAAUACAUUAGCAUGGAAUAAUGAAAUAGGACGUUUGAUUCUAUUUUGUUGGUUUCUAGGAUCGAUGUAAUGAUUAAUAGGGAUAGUUGGGGGCAUUAGUAUUCAAUUGUCAGAGGUGAAAUUCUUGGAUUUAUUGAAGACUAACUACUGCAAAGCAAUUUGCCAAGGAUAGUUUUCUAUUAAUCAAGAACGAAAGUUAGGGGAUCGAAGACGAUCAGAUACCGUCGUAGUCUUAACCAUAAAACUAUGCCGACUAGGGAUCGGAUGAUGUUAAUUAUUAAUU